CCGCCUGCAUCCAGGUGAAAUAAACAGCCUUGUUGCUCACACAAAUCCUGUUUGGUGGUCUCUUCACACGGACGCGAGUGAAAUUUGGUGCCGUGACUGGGAUCAGGGGACCUCCCUUGGGAGAUCAAUCCCCUGUCCUACUCUUUGCUCCAUGAGAAAGAUCCACCUACAACCUCAGGUCCUCAGACUGACCAGCCCAAGGAACAUCUCACCAAUUUCAAAUCCAGACCCCACUGAAAAUCGGACUGUUCAACUCACCUGGCAGCCACUUCCACAGCCCCUGGAACUCUGGCCCAAGGCUCUCUGAUUGACUCCUUCCCAGAUCUUCUUGGCUUAGCGGCUGAAGACUGAUGUUGCCGGAUCGCCUCGGAAGCCUACAAGACCAUCACAGACGCUCUAGGUAACUCUCACAGUGGAAGGAAGUAAAGUGCCUCCAGGAAAAUCCACAUCCUAACUGGUAAGAGCCUACUUACAACAA
This 478-nucleotide long non-coding RNA is filed under the name Homo sapiens (human). RNAcentral's name for it is "PREDICTED lncRNA (TCONS_00172542)". Lineage: Eukaryota; Metazoa; Chordata; Mammalia; Primates; Hominidae. The record is from RNAcentral.